RNAcentral lists this ribosomal RNA (725 nucleotides) under uncultured archaeon. RNAcentral describes it as "bacterial SSU rRNA". It matches the Rfam family "Archaeal small subunit ribosomal RNA", at positions 604 to 1324 of the family's 1478-position model. The record is from RNAcentral.
AGAGGCCGGGGGUACCCCUGGGGUAGGGGUGAAAUUCCUAUAAUUCCCAGGGGGACCGCCAGUGGCGAAGGCGCCCGGCUGGAACGGGUCCGACGGUGAGGGACGAAGGCCAGGGGAGCGAACCGGAUUAGAUACCCGGGUAGUCCUGGCUGUAAAGGAUGCGGGCUAGGUGUCGGGCGAGCUUCGAGCUCGCCCGGUGCCGAAGGGAAGCCGUUAAGCCCGCCGCCUGGGGAGUACGGCCGCAAGGCUGAAACUUAAAGGAAUUGGCGGGGGAGCACUACAAGGGGUGGAGCGUGCGGUUUAAUUGGAUUCAACGCCGGGAACCUCACCGGGGGCGACGGCAGGAUGAAGGCCAGGCUGAAGGUCUUGCCGGACACGCCGAGAGGAGGUGCAUGGCCGCCGUCAGCCCGUACCGUGAGGCGUCCACUUAAGUGUGGUAACGAGCGAGACCCGCGCCCCCAGUUGCCAGUCCUCCCCGCUGGGGAGGAGGCACUCUGGGGGGACCGCCGGCGAUAAGCCGGAGGAAGGAGCGGGCGACGGUAGGUCAGUAUGCCCCGAAACCCCCGGGCUACACGCGCGCUACAAUGGGCGGGACAAUGGGAUCCGACCCCGAAAGGGGAAGGGAAUCCCCUAAACCCGCCCCCAGUUCGGAUCGCGGGCUGCAACUCGCCCGNNUGAAGCUGGAAUUCCCUAGUACCNNNCGUUUCAUCAUCGCGCGGCGAAUA